RNAcentral lists this ribosomal RNA (330 nucleotides) under Clostridium botulinum. RNAcentral describes it as "partial 23S ribosomal RNA". It matches the Rfam family "Bacterial large subunit ribosomal RNA", at positions 1087 to 1417 of the family's 2925-position model. Lineage: Bacteria; Bacillati; Bacillota; Clostridia; Eubacteriales; Clostridiaceae. The record is from RNAcentral.
AGACAACUAGGAUGUUGGCUUAGAAGCAGCCACUCAUUAAAAGAGUGCGUAAUAGCUCACUAGUCAAGAGAUCCUGCGCCGAAAAUGUCCGGGGCUCAAACUUACCACCGAAGCUACGGGUUCACACUUUUUGUGUGAGCGGUAGAGGAGCGUCGUAAUCGGGCUGAAGUCGUACCGUAAGGAGCGGUGGACUGAUUACGAGUGAGAAUGUUGGCAUUAGUAGCGAGAUGUGGGUGAGAAUCCCACAGGCCGAAUACCUAAGGUUUCCUCAGGAAGGUUCGUCCGCUGAGGGUUAGUCGGGACCUAAGCUGAGGCCGAAAGGCGUAAGCG